UCCGAACUCGGAAGUUAAGACCUCCAGCGCCGAUGAUACUGCAAGUUCACUUGUGGGAAAGUAGGUCGUCGCCAGGA
RNAcentral lists this ribosomal RNA (77 nucleotides) under Desulfomicrobium norvegicum. Lineage: Bacteria; Pseudomonadati; Thermodesulfobacteriota; Desulfovibrionia; Desulfovibrionales; Desulfomicrobiaceae. The record is from RNAcentral.